This 532-nucleotide ribosomal RNA is filed under the name Escherichia coli. RNAcentral describes it as "partial 23S ribosomal RNA". It matches the Rfam family "Bacterial large subunit ribosomal RNA", at positions 2188 to 2719 of the family's 2925-position model. Lineage: Bacteria; Pseudomonadati; Pseudomonadota; Gammaproteobacteria; Enterobacterales; Enterobacteriaceae. The record is from RNAcentral.
GACCUUGAAAUACCACCCUUUAAUGUUUGAUGUUCUAACGUUGACCCGUAAUCCGGGUUGCGGACAGUGUCUGGUGGGUAGUUUGACUGGGGCGGUCUCCUCCUAAAGAGUAACGGAGGAGCACGAAGGUUGGCUAAUCCUGGUCGGACAUCAGGAGGUUAGUGCAAUGGCAUAAGCCAGCUUGACUGCGAGCGUGACGGCGCGAGCAGGUGCGAAAGCAGGUCAUAGUGAUCCGGUGGUUCUGAAUGGAAGGGCCAUCGCUCAACGGAUAAAAGGUACUCCGGGGAUAACAGGCUGAUACCGCCCAAGAGUUCAUAUCGACGGCGGUGUUUGGCACCUCGAUGUCGGCUCAUCACAUCCUGGGGCUGAAGUAGGUCCCAAGGGUAUGGCUGUUCGCCAUUUAAAGUGGUACGCGAGCUGGGUUUAGAACGUCGUGAGACAGUUCGGUCCCUAUCUGCCGUGGGCGCUGGAGAACUGAGGGGGGCUGCUCCUAGUACGAGAGGACCGGAGUGGACGCAUCACUGGUGUUCGG